Triticum urartu is the source of this 5514-nucleotide non-coding RNA. Lineage: Eukaryota; Viridiplantae; Streptophyta; Magnoliopsida; Poales; Poaceae. The record is from RefSeq and is a predicted model, not a curated record.
CUGUGUUGUCAUAACGCUUCCGCUUACGGUCUACGAGGAUACGUGGACAACACUCUCACCUCUCGUUGCUAUGCAUCACCUAGAUAGAUCUUGCGUGCGUAGGAAUUUUUUUGAAAUGAUUGUGUUCCCCAACACCUUUAAAUGGGAGGAAGUUUACUUGGGCUAACAACCAGCCUGAACCCAUAUAUGAAAAACUAGAUAGAAUCCUAAUCUGCCCAGAUUGGGAGGAUCAUUAUCCCCUGACUGAGGUGUAUGCACUUGAGAGAGAACUGUCAGAUCAUACUCCCCUGAUCCUUGAUACAGGGGAAAACACAUAUACACCACCUAUUUUUAGAUUUGAAAACUCCUGGAUGAUGAGGGAGGGUUUCAAAUAUUUUGUCAUUAGAACCUGGACUGCACACUACCAUGGUGAUACUAUGGAACAGUGGCAGAGAAGAAUGAGAGUGUUUAGACAAAAAGUAAGAGGGUGGAUUCUUAAUUUUGAUGCUUGGUAUGGGAAAAUUAAAAAGGAGAUUUUAAUGAAAUUAGAUGCAAUAAACAAAAAUGCUGAGGUUAUGGGCCUCUCUGCUCUGGACAGAGAAGAGCAAAAAGACUUAAGGGCCCAAUUACACAGACUGUUAAAACAAGAAGAAAUGAAAUGGCUACAGAGAUAUAAAGACAAAGAAAUUAAAGAUGGAGAUUGUAUUACAAAAUACUAUCAUGCUAAGGUGAAUGGUAGAAGGAGAAAACACAGAAUUCUAUCUUUAAAACAAGAGGAAGGAGUGGUUGAGGGACAAGAAAAUCUUAUUAGAUACAUUACUGAUUUUUACAAAAAAAUUGUUUGGUCAACCAGACACAUCCUCAAUCCAACUGAAUGAUUUGGGGGGGGGGGAAUCAAUUACUAGGGAACAGGCUGAUGAACUAAUUAAACCUUUUUCAAUGGAAGAACUUCAGGAAGUGGUUUUUGGGAUGGAAAAAAUAGAAGUCCUAGCCCUGAUGGAUUACCAGUGGACUUCUAUCAACAUUUUUGGGAUACUGUCAAAUGGGGUUUGAUGAAACUUCUGAAUGAAUUCCAUGAAGGUAAGUUGGAUAUAUCUAGGAUCAAUUAUGGGAUUAUCACUUUGGUCCCAAAAAAUGAGGAUGCUAAGCAAAUCCAAAAGUUCAGACAUGUAUGUUUAUUAAGUGUUAGCUUUAAGAUUGUCACUAAAGUAUUGAUGAAUAGGCUGGGUAGGAUCAUAAAACCUAUUAUCUUACCUACUCAAACUGCUUUCAUCAAAGGGAGAUACAUCAUGGAGGGAAUUGUGAUCCUCCAUGAAGCUCUUAAUUCUAUACACUGUUAAAAACAAAGUGCUAUGAUGUUCAAAGUAGAUUUUGAGAAGGCAUAUGACAAAAUAAAGUGGCCAUUUGUUUACAAAAUGCUUAAAAUGAAACAAUUCCCUGAUAAAUGGUGUGAUCUGGUCAUGCACACUAUGAUAGGAGGGCAGGUGGGGAUUAAGGUGAAUGAUAGGAUUGGCCCUUACUUCAAAACUUAUAAAGGGUUGAGGCAGGGGGAUUCUAUGUCACCAUUACUGUUUGACAUAGCUGCGGAUGCCUUGGCUAUAAUCUUAGAUAAAGUCAAACAUGCAGGUUAUGUCAAAGGGGUGCUGACUGAACUUGGGGACAAUGGGGUGAACAUGCUGCAAUAUGCAGAUGAUACCAUUUUCCUUCUUGAUGAUAAUGAGGAGAGUGCUAAAAAUCUUAAAUUCAUUCAUAUCUUUUGAGCAAAUGUCUGGACUAACUAUUAAUUUCCACAAAAGUGAGGUGUAACUAUUUGGGGAGUCCAAAGACAAAGGAGAAAUAUAUCAAGAAAUUUUUACCUGUAACAAAGGGGAGAUUCCAUUCAAAUAUUUGGGACUGCCUGUUACCAAUGUGAGAUUAGGAAAUAAAUUUUGGAAGAGCAUGAAUGAAAAAAUAGAAAAGAGAUGUGCUUGCUGGCAAGGAAGGUUAUUAAAUAUAGCUGGGAGAGUAACUCUAGUCCAGGCCUGCCUGACAAAUAUGCCUAUGUAUAAGAUGUCCAUCUAUCCCCUGCCAGUAGGGAUUAGGAAGAAAACAGAUUUCUUCAGAGCUAGAUUAGUCUGGCAGGAGAGUGAGGAUAAAAAGAAAUACCAUCUAGUCAACUGGAAAACAUGUUGCUUGCCAAAGGAAUUGGGUGGCUUAGGUAUAUUGAAUCUUGAGUAUAUGAAUAAAGCCUUGCCGGAAAAAUGGCUAUGGAAGCUAGAGACAGAAGAUGGGAUGUGGGCCAAAAUCCUUUUAAAUAAAUAUGUUAAAGGAAAAUAUAUAUAUGGAAAUUAAAAGAAGCCUGGUUAUUCCCAGUUUUGGGGAGCCCUGAUGCGGAUCAAUGACAUUUAUUAUAAAAAUGUUAAGAAAAAUUAGGAGAUGGAAUAAAUACUAGGUUCUGGGAAGACUGGUGGGUAGGAUCAAAACCAUUAAAAGAGGCCUAUCCAAGCCUGUAUUUCAUCAGUCUAAACCAUGAAAUUUCAGUGGCCCGGUCCAUUGACAUGAGAUGGGAGGGUUUUGAGUUUAGAAGAAAUUUAUCUGAAGACAAAAGAGCUCUACGGGAGAGUUUGAAAACCAGAUGUGAAGAAGUGAGAAUGUAUGAGGGCAAAGAUCAGCCGAUGUGGAUGCUGACAGCCAACAGACAAUUCUCUAUGAGGUCGUUAUAUCAAUAGUUAGUAAAAACAGAUGUAGGCUUCCCACACAAAUUCCUUUGGAAGGUGAAAAUCCCAGCGAAAAUUAAGAUGUUUCUAUGGCUGAUUGCCAGAAAAAGUAUACUAACCAGAGAUAAUCUUGUAAAAAGAGGGUGGAAAGGGGAUCAAAUAUGUGUGUUCUGUGGCCAAAAUGAAAAUAUAGAUCAUCUUUUUUUCUCUUGCUCCACUGCAAGGCUACUCUGGAGCUUGAUAAAGUGCUCAUUCAAUUUAAAAACAACCCCAGAUGGGGUUGAUGAUUGUCUGGGCACCUGGAUUAGGAAAUUCAAAAAAGAGGAUAAAAAUUAGUGCUAGUUGGAAUGUCUGCAAUUCUCUGGGCUAUUUGGAAAUGUCGAAAUGAUAUAAUUUUUCAAGAUAAAUUGGUCAAUGAUCCCAUGAAGUUGGUAAAACGAACUUGUAAUUGGAUUGUGGAUUGGGCUAUUUUGCAGAGAAAAAAACCAGGACAAAACCUACUGAUGAUGGGGGCAAGGCUAAUCGGGCGAGUAGCAAGUGAGAUCUAUAGAGCUUCGCAGGGAUGGAGAGCUGGAGUUCCUCGCCUGACGAACUGAAGAUUUCGUUUCCUGAUGUUAGCUCGAUUUUACUCUCUUGCGUAGUCUGCUGGAGGUUACGCCCUCUCUGUCAAAUGGGUCGCCUAUGACCCCGAAGAACUUAAGCUUGAUCGUUGCCUUUUGAGAUGGUUUCCUUGGAUAUUGGUAGUUUUAAGUAGGUUGCACGUCUGUAGUGAACUGAUACUGGUGAUGGUUUCGUUAAUGAAAUCGGAGCCCCCCUCUUUUGCUCAAAAAAACUGGCAGCACCUUCUUCCCUGUGAAUUCUCGCGAGAAGGCGCCAUGGUUCCUACGCCCACCGGUAUAGGUGAGCCAGCAGCCGCUCUCUCUCUCUCUCGCUCUGUGUGUGUGUGUGUGCCGUGCAGCCAUGGUUGUCGGGGGAAAUCUGGAGUCAUGAGGGUAAGGAACAAAACCUAGAUCGGGGUCGUUGCCUCGUUCGGCAUGGAGAUUGUGAAGAGGUUCCGGCGAGGCGAUUACCGCGCCCGUGGAUUCGCGUUCCAUCUCGCAGCGGCAUGUUCGGUUCAUAGGUUAACGGCCGCCUCCUCACAACAGUGGCGAGUAUAGGAUCGUAGAACUAAGGGAGCAACAAUUUACAUGCACAACGCAUGCAUAACAUAACCUCGAUACAUAUGUUUGAAAACUGUACUGGAAGUGUUAUAAUUUGGUCUCUAUAUCAUUAAGCUUGUAGUAAUCCAGUGUUAAAUAUAUGGUAUAAAUUGUUUUGCAUAGUUGUAGGGGGUGCCUCACAGCCCCUAAAACCCCUCCCCCUCGGCCUCCGUCGAAUCCAAAAAAGCCGGCACACAUCCUCAGCUAGUCACAUCAGAUCCACCAUCUCGCAAUACGCUUACUUAUGUUUUGGUUUAUCUGCAGAACUUUCUUACAAAAUCCCAAACAUAGUCAAGCUGUUGUUCGAGACACCCUCUGGCUUCGCACUUUUCUCUUUUGAUAAGAGAUACCUCGACAAACAUAUUGAGGACAUCUGGGUAUACUUCGUGGGUGAAUAUUGGCAUCAAAAUAUCAUCUGGCUGCAUGAAUUCCAAAAGUUUGAGGACAAGUCGGACGCCAUUGACCUUACAAAUGGAAAAUAGGCAAAGACAUGAACAUGCUGAUCAUGAACUACUACUACUCUGAUGACAAACUAAUUGUUGGAAGCCUUGCAUAUAAAGAAAUAAUUGAAGAAUCACUGGGGCUAACAUGUGUGUACAAUGAUGACGCUGUGACGGAGGUGAUGUGGGGUGUGCAGAAUAUCAUGCAUACUUUAGUGCCUCAAGAACAAUAUGAGAUUAGUAAGGAGGACCUGAUCCUGAGCCACGGGCUGAAUAUGGUCUUAAAUCUACAUGACAUUGUAGUCAAGAAAGAUAUGAUUAAUGAGUGUAUUAUUGAGAAGGCCAGCAAGGUGCAUCAUAUCGACAUGCGUGAAGAAGAACAUUUAGUUUUCUUGCACGAACGCUUGCUGAGGAUUUCAGGACGUUUUCCAAAGUCGACAUCGAGGAGUGGAGCUUAUUCAAACUUGCGACAGCGUUGAAGUUGAUGUUCGAUCCUCAUGGAGGGCUUAAAGCUGGUGAUGCAGAUGAGAUGUUCACGCGUGCUGAGCUUACAAUGAUGUCGCGUGAUGCGCCUCGAUACCAUGGGAUGAUAAGUAAGAACAUUGUCUUGGCAAUCUACAAUGAUGUUGUUACUCUCCAAGAGGACAAGGUGAAGUUGCUUACUAGUAGAAAAAGGGUCAAAUGUUCAGCUCAUUAGCCCCGGUUUAUAUUUAAGCCGACACUAAUGUGACCAUUAGUGCCGGUUCCAACAGCUAGGCGGGCCGCUCUCAUUAGUACCGGUUCAUGCCGAACCUUUAGCACCGGUUCGUGCCACGAACCGGUACUAAAGAGAGUAGUGGCGGGAUGUUGUCAGUCUGUGGCCCCUCCAGCACCUUUAGUACCGGUUGGUGGCACGAACCGGUACUAAAGGUCGUCCUAUAUAAACCCUUCGUCCACCCGCGAGCGAGCGAGCUCUGUUUUCCCCCUUUCCCCUCUCCUCUUUGUUCUUCCCCUCUAUACCUCGAGCUCAUCACACAUUUUUCCCAAAAUUUGUCAAGAUUUGAUGGCCCCCAUCCAUUCAAGUGAUCACAAAGGUGUGGUUUACUUGGUGCCUUCCCGUCUCCGUCCUAACCACCGUCGAUCGUCCGCACCGUCCUGUCGCCGGCACCACCUUGUGGGGUAUGUGAGCCGGAAAUUCCAACCGACCCUAUUGUCGAGAGG